GCGGCGCUGCCGGAGGACCUGGCGCCGCUGCUGGCGGAGCACGUGGUGCCGGCGCUGCGCCGGCGUGCCGCGCC
RNAcentral lists this transfer RNA (74 nucleotides) under Kocuria flava. RNAcentral describes it as "tRNA-Ser". The record is from RNAcentral. Lineage: Bacteria; Bacillati; Actinomycetota; Actinomycetes; Micrococcales; Micrococcaceae.